Molecule: ribosomal RNA, 116 nt
Organism: Pteropus vampyrus (large flying fox)
Lineage: Eukaryota; Metazoa; Chordata; Mammalia; Chiroptera; Pteropodidae
Source: Ensembl
GUCUACGGCCAUGACACCCUGAACAAGCCCGAUCCCAUCUGAUGUCAUAAGCUAAGGGUCGGGCCUGGUUAGUAGUUGUAUGGGAGACCACCUAGGAAGACCAGGUGCUGUAUAGG